GGCGGCAGGCCUAACACAUGCAAGUCGGGCGGUAACAGGGAGUGCUUGCACUUCGCUGACGAGCGGCGGACGGGUGAGUAAUGCAUAGGAAUCUGCCUGGUAGUGGGGGAUAGCCCAGAGAAAUUUGGAUUAAUACCGCAUACGCCCUACGGGGAAAGCAGGGGGGAUCUUCGGACCUUGCGCUAUCAGAUGAGCCUAUGUCGGAUUAGCUUGUUGGUGAGGUAACGGCUCACCAAGGCGACGAUCCGUAGCUGGUCUGAGAGGAUGAUCAGCCACACUGGGACUGAGACACGGCCCAGACUCCUACGGGAGGCAGCAGUGGGGAAUAUUGGACAAUGGGCGCAAGCCUGAUCCAGCCAUGCCGCGUGUGUGAAGAAGGCCUUCGGGUUGUAAAGCACUUUCAGCGAGGAGGAAAGGAUGGUUGCUAAUAUCAGCCGUCUGCGACGUUACUCGCAGAAGAAGCACCGGCUAACUCCGUG
This 479-nucleotide ribosomal RNA is filed under the name uncultured bacterium. RNAcentral describes it as "bacterial SSU rRNA". It matches the Rfam family "Bacterial small subunit ribosomal RNA", at positions 38 to 507 of the family's 1533-position model. The record is from RNAcentral.